AGAGUUUGAUCAUGGCUCAGAACGUACGCUGGCGGCACGCUUAACACAUGCAAGUCGAACGAAGUAGCAAUACUUAGUGGCGAACGGGUGAGUAUAAUGUGGGUAUCUGCCUUUUGGUGAAGAAUAACACGGGGAAACUUGUGCUAAUACUUCAUAAGCCUUUACAGGGAAAGAUUUAUCGCCAAAAGAUGAGCCCAUACUUGAUUAGCUAGUUGGUAAGGUAAUGGCUUACCAAGGCUACGAUCAAUAGCUGAUCUGAGAGGAUGAUCAGCCACAUUGGGACUGAGACACGGCCCAAACUCCUACGGGAGGCAGCAGUGGGGAAUCUUGCACAAUGGGGGAAACCCUGAUGCAGCGAUGCCGCGUGAGUGAAGAAGGCCUUUGGGUUGUAAAGCUCUUUCGUCGGGGAAGAAAAUGACUGUACCCGAAUAAGAAGGUCCGGCUAACUUCGUGCCAGCAGCCGCGGUAAUACGAAGGGACCUAGCGUAGUUCGGAAUUACUGGGCUUAAAGAGCACGUAGGUGGUUAGAAAAGUUGGUGGUGAAAUCCCAAGGCUUAACCUUGGAACUGCCAUCAAAACUUUUUAACUAGAGUAUGAUAGAGGUAAGUGGAAUUUCUAGUGUAGAGGUGAAAUUCGUAGAUAUUAGAAAGAACACCAAUUGCGAAGGCAACUUUCUGGAUCAUUACUGACACUGAGGUGCGAAAGCAUGGGUAGCGAAGAGGAUUAGAUACCCUCGUAGUCCAUGCUGUAAACGAUGUGUGCUAGACGUUGAAAAUUUAUUUUUCAGUGUCGCAGCAAAAGCGUUAAGCACACCGCCUGGGGAGUACGACCGCAAGGUUAAAACUCAAAUGAAUUGACGGGGACCCGCACAAGCAGUGGAGCAUGUGGUUUAAUUCGAAGAUACGCGCAGAACCUUACCAACUCUUGACAUGUUCGUCGCGAACCUAAGAGAUUAGGUUUUCAUUUAGUUGGACAGAACACAGGUGCUGCAUGGCUGUCGUCAGCUCGUGUCGUGAGAUGUUGGGUUAAGUCCCGCAACGAGCGCAACCCCUACUUUUAGUUGCCACCAUUUAGUUGAGCCCUCUAAAAGAACUGCCAGUGAUAAGCUGGAGGAAGGCGGGGAUGACGUCAAGUCCUCAUGGCCCUUACGUGUUGGGCUACACACGUGCUACAAUGGCAUUCACAAUGGGAAGCAAAAAAGCGAUUUUGAGCAAAUCCCAAAAAGAUGCCUCAGUUCGGAUUGUACUCUGCAACUCGAGUACAUGAAGCUGGAAUUGCUAGUAAUCGCGGAUCAGCGCGCCGCGGUGAAUACGUUCCCGGGUCUUGUACACACCGCCCGUCACACCAUGGAAGUUGGUUACACCUGAAGCCAAAACUUAAAACUUUUGACCACGGUAC
Molecule: ribosomal RNA, 1398 nt
Filed under: uncultured bacterium
Lineage: Bacteria
Description: bacterial SSU rRNA
Rfam family: Bacterial small subunit ribosomal RNA
Source: RNAcentral